CCUACGGGCGGCAGCAGUGAGGAAUAUUGGUCAAUGGACGAGAGUCUGAACCAGCCAAGCAGCGUGAAGGAUGACUGCCCUAUGGGUUGUAAACUUCUUUUAUAUGGGAAUAAAAUGUUCCACGUGUGGGAUUUUGUAUGUACCAUAUGAAUAAGGAUCGGCUAACUCCGUGCCAGCAGCCGCGGUAAUACGGAGGAUCCGAGCGUUAUCCGGAUUUAUUGGGUUUAAAGGGAGCGUAGGUUGAUUGUUAAGUCAGUUGUGAAAGUUUGCGGCUCAACCGGAAAAUUGCAGUUGAAACUGGCAGUCUUGAGUACAGUAGAGGUAGGCGGAAUGCGUGGUGUAGCGGUGAAAUGCUUAGAUAUCACGAAGAACUCCGAUUGCGAAGGCAGUUCACUGGACUGCAACUGACACUGAGGCUCGAAAGUGUGGGUAUCAAACAGGAGUAGAUACCCCAGUAGUC
Molecule: ribosomal RNA, 460 nt
Filed under: uncultured bacterium
Lineage: Bacteria
Description: partial 16S ribosomal RNA
Rfam family: Bacterial small subunit ribosomal RNA
Source: RNAcentral